AGUGAACGCUGGCGGUAGGCCUAACACAUGCAAGUCGAACGGCAGCACAGGAGAGCUUGCUCUCUGGGUGGCGAGUGGCGGACGGGUGAGGAAUACAUCGGAAUCUACUUUUUCGUGGGGGAUAACGUAGGGAAACUUACGCUAAUACCGCAUACGACCUACGGGUGAAAGCAGGGGACCUUCGGGCCUUGCGCGAUUGAAUGAGCCGAUGUCGGAUUAGCUAGUUGGCGGGGUAAAGGCCCACCAAGGCGACGAUCCGUAGCUGGUCUGAGAGGAUGAUCAGCCACCCUGGAACUGAGACACGGUCCAGAAUCCUACGGGAGGCAGCAGUGGGGAAUAUUGGACAAUGGGCUCAAGCCUGAUCCAGCCAUACCGCGUGGGUGAAGAAGGCCUUCGGGUUGUAAAGCCCUUUUGUUGGGAAAGAAAUCCAGCUGGCUAAUACCCGGUUGGGAUGACGGUACCCAAAGAAUAAGCACCGGCUAACUUCGUGCCAGCAGCCGCGGUAA
This 506-nucleotide ribosomal RNA is filed under the name uncultured bacterium. RNAcentral describes it as "partial 16S ribosomal RNA". It matches the Rfam family "Bacterial small subunit ribosomal RNA", at positions 29 to 523 of the family's 1533-position model. The record is from RNAcentral.